CCAUUCUCCGUCUCGAGCUCCUCGACCUCUGUCAGUACCCGAUCCGUGCCGCCUGCCCGAACUGUUUUGCAUAAUUAUGCGCAUGCGCAGAAGCUCAACGUGUUUUACGACAGUUUACGACCCUACCUGAUCUGUUCUACGCAUGCGCGACAACCGGAGUUUAAAAAUAGUGAAGAAAUGCGUCAUAUAACAACACCGGCGAACAUAUGGAGGCUAAGUAAUUUGUAUAAAGGACCAACAUGGACCAGUAUUUAUUUCAUGCUGCCCUUCGGCAGUACCUACUAAGUGGGAUGUCGAUGUCGCGGUUGACUGGAAGAGAGUCAUGCGGGUGUCCAACCACUUCGUUGUAGAUGAUUUGUCCAUGCUGAUGGCCGUGCAGCAUAGUUGAAGCAGACCUGUCAGAAAACAUCUCUAAGGCGCUAUGAAUCCUAUGACUAGCCAAAGUGGGAGGAAUUAUGAUAUUGUCAGUCUUGUCUACAUCACCAAUCCCAGGAAGUAAACUGUUGCCUACAAUCCGUGUGUUUGUUGUUGUCCAAGAAAAGAGAUUUACAUUGGAGACGAUAACUUGUGUCAUCUUUUACUUUGGGGAUACGCAUCCUAAAAUUACUAGAGGUUACGGAAGCUCCUUUUUGGAUCCAGCUUCAUUUGUGAAGACUUCAGAUGAUGUCAACACUCACAGAGACUUAAGAUGAUGGCAACAAUAGAUGAAGCAACACUCACAAAGACUUUAGAUGAUGGCAACUAUAGAUGGACAUACAAAAUUGCCAAAUAUAAUAUUGUAAUUACUGCCCCAAAGCGCAAGUUUGCAGAUUUUUAACCCACUUUAUAUUGUUACAAAUACAAUAGAUGCUAACAUUUGAACAGAAAAUGUUUCCUCUUUAUUCUUGAGUUAAUUGUGCUGAUUUAUUCCCUUUUUUUUUAUCCACAGUACUUUGCCAAAAUUAUGUUUUGCAUCAUCCAAAUGGUUCAUUUACAAAUUACAGACAUUGUAACAACACAAAGUGGGUUGAAAUUCUGCCAACUUACCCUAUAAUAAUAAUAAUUGUCUUUAACUGAACAUGACUUUAAACACAUGACUUGUAUUAUCUUAGAGCUAUUGUGAUAUUAAUAUUGUUUUGUUUCCAGAAUAUUCUCCUCAGUGAGUCACUGUUACCUCGGACUGAUUAAGGGAUUUUUUGUAACCUUGAAACAUGCAUUGGUUUUACUAUGGUCAAACUGCAGAUCUUAUUUCAAGGUUUUGUUACCAUGGUUCUACUACAGUAACAAUAUUGAAAUGCCGGAAUGAAACUGUGGUAACCAUAUUAUUUUAAAUCAUGGUAAAUUUGUGGUUACUAAAAUGCACUACUAUAUGUUGGUUUAAGAGCAUGAUUAUUUUUUAUGUAUUAAUAAACCAUGGUUGAUUUUA
Molecule: non-coding RNA, 1405 nt
Organism: Paramisgurnus dabryanus
Lineage: Eukaryota; Metazoa; Chordata; Actinopteri; Cypriniformes; Cobitidae
Source: RefSeq, a predicted model, not a curated record